GACGAACGCUGGCGGCGUGCUUAACACAUGCAAGUCGAACGGAAAGGCCCUGCUUUUGUGGGGUGCUCGAGUGGCGAACGGGUGAGUAACACGUGAGUAACCUGCCCUUGACUUUGGGAUAACUUCAGGAAACUGGGGCUAAUACCGGAUAGGAGCUCCUGCUGCAUGGUGGGGGUUGGAAAGUUUCGGCGGUUGGGGAUGGACUCGCGGCUUAUCCGCUUGUUGGUGGGGUAGUGGCUUACCAAGGCUUUGACGGGUAGCCGGCCUGAGCAGGUGACCGGCCACAUUGGGACUGAGAUACGGCCCAGACUCCUAAGGGAGGCAGCAGUGGGGAAUAUUGCACAAUGGGCGGAAGCGUGAUGCAGCAACGCCGCGAGCGGGAUGACGGCAUUCGGGUUGUAAACCGCUUUCGCCUGGGACGAAGCGUGAGUGACGGUAAUGGGUAAAGAAGGACCGGCUAACUACGUG
Molecule: ribosomal RNA, 468 nt
Filed under: uncultured bacterium
Lineage: Bacteria
Description: partial 16S ribosomal RNA
Rfam family: Bacterial small subunit ribosomal RNA
Source: RNAcentral